CACUCCUGCAAGCUUUCCUCACCAAGGUGCCACUGUGGGAGGCCUAGACCUGACACUCCUGUUCUCCCUGACCCAGAUGGGAUGGAUGAAGAUGAAUGACAAAGAGAAACCAAAUCAGCUUAACAUGGGGGAAGCCAGGGCGCUCUCUUAAUAGGCAGAGGAGCCCCAUGUCUGGCUUUUCUUGUUUUUAUUCACCCAAACAUGGCAAUCAAAGUAACACAAGAUUCAUCUGUUUUCCAAUAUUCAUUGGUAAUUGCCCAGGCCUCAAUCCUCGUCUGGUCUACAACAUAUACAGCGAACCCUCAAGUCACAACCGGCCUGCUAUACCAACAACUUGGGUUAAUUAGGUUAAUGGAAGAUUCAUCUGCCCCUUGUUAUUGAUCACGUGUAUCCAGUACUCACCGUGUUAUCUACCACAAUCUUUGGAAUCCUCCGGAGAAAUCACUACUGCGUGGGGGGGACAUGGCCUGAGGUGCCACUUGCUCCUGUACUUGUAAAGCCU
Molecule: long non-coding RNA, 502 nt
Filed under: Fukomys damarensis (Damara mole-rat)
Lineage: Eukaryota; Metazoa; Chordata; Mammalia; Rodentia; Bathyergidae
Description: lncRNA (ENSFDAG00000025608.1)
Source: RNAcentral